This 257-nucleotide unclassified non-coding RNA is filed under the name plant metagenome. Its description in RNAcentral is "partial contains small subunit ribosomal RNA, internal transcribed spacer 1, and 5.8S ribosomal RNA". The record is from RNAcentral.
UUUCCGUAGGUGAACCUGCGGAAGGAUCAUUAUCGUAAAACCGAGGUGCGAGGGCUGUCGCUGACCUUUUCGGUCGUGCACGCCCGAGCGCUCUCACACAAUCCAUCUCACCCCUUGUGCACCACCGCGUGGGUCCCUUUCUGGCUCGUCCGGAGGGGGGCUCGCGUAUUCACACAAACUUGAAGUAGUGUAGAAUGUCCUUUUUUUGCGAUAACACGCAAUCAAUACAACUUUCAACAACGGAUCUCUUGGCUCUC